CCUACGGGUGGCAGCAGUCGAGAAUCAUUCACAAUGGGCGAAAGCCUGAUGGUGCGACGCCGCGUGGAGGAUGACAGCCCUAGGGUUGUAAACUCCUGUCAUGAGAGAGUAAAGACUUAACGUUAAUACCGUUGGGUCCUGAUAGUAUCUCAAGAGGAAGGGACGGCUAACUUCGUGCCAGCAGCCGCGGUAAUACGAAGGUCCCAAGCGUUGUUCGGAAUUACUGGGCGUAAAGCGUGCGUAGGUGGCAUGGUAAGUCAGAUGUGAAAUCCCGGGGCUCAACCCCGGAACUGCAUCCGAUACUGCCAAGCUAGAGUAGUGGAGGGGAGUCUGGAAUUCACGGUGUAGCAGUGAAAUGCGUAGAUAUCGUGAGGAACACUAGUGGCGAAGGCGAGACUCUGGACACUAACUGACACUGAGGCACGAAGGCUAGGGUAGCG
RNAcentral lists this ribosomal RNA (440 nucleotides) under uncultured bacterium. Its description in RNAcentral is "bacterial SSU rRNA". It matches the Rfam family "Bacterial small subunit ribosomal RNA", at positions 338 to 770 of the family's 1533-position model. The record is from RNAcentral.